RNA transcript from Diorhabda carinulata, 2239 nucleotides. It is a transcript of the gene named alpha-tocopherol transfer protein-like, with no coding region annotated. The transcript has 6 exons. Lineage: Eukaryota; Metazoa; Arthropoda; Insecta; Coleoptera; Chrysomelidae. The record is from RefSeq and is a predicted model, not a curated record.
GUCUAUAUAUUAUACAGGUAAUGAGAAUAUAGUAAGUAACGUUAUCUACGUCGUAUAAAAGAGAAAGCUGAUCUAACAAUAAAAACUUGCAGAAACAAAUACAAUGUAAACGUGUAUGAUAUUGAUAGGCCAUACGUCAUAAUCUUAAAUUUGCAAACAGAUAAAAAUCUAUUAAAUUGUUUUGUUGAUAAAAAUAAUAUUGUGGCAUAUUAUCAGAGUAUGUUUUGAUCCAGAACGACAUUACGAAGUAAUAAAAUACCGAGAUAACAAAUCAGACAAACAAAUAAUUUUUGCUACUAAAUAUAUCAAAAUGGAAACAACGGAAAUAGAACCAUUUUUAAAAACUGAUAGAAACAAAGUAAGAAAAUAUUGGAAUAAAACAGAAUCUGAGGUAUUAGAAAUUUUGGAAGAACUCAAACAAUGGAUUAAAACACAAGAUUUACCCGAGAUGCCAACCGAUAGUAUGUUGGAAUUUUUUUUAACAAAUUGCAAAUAUGAUGUAGAAAAAACUAGAACAAAUAUAAUCACAUAUUAUAAGAUAAGAAAGUUAGUUCCAGAUUUUUAUAAAAAUUGUAACCCAAAUCGAGCUGAAAUGCAAGAAACUUGGAACAUGGGGGUUUAUUGUCCCUUACCGAAUUUAAACGAUGAUUUGUGCAGGAUUUCAAUCAAUAAAUUAUUUCCCUAUAAUUCAAAUUUUGAUGUUCGAAAAUAUCUUGCAAAUUUUCUGAAUGUGUACGAAAUACGAAUAUGCGAAGAUUUAUGUGUUAGUGAGAUUGUAAUAAUCGAUUAUGAGGAGCUUACUUGGAGUCAUAUAUUCAAGUUUUCACCGUUUGUGAUCAGUAAAGCGGUCACUAUAAUGGACAAAGUUGCCAAAAAUAGAAUAAAGAAUAUCCAUAUAGUUAAUGCUCCUUCCUAUGUAAAUAUAUUAUUAAAUAUAGGCAAGAAAUUUAUGAAGAAAAAAUUAUCGGAUCGGAUUCAAGUCCAUGAUAGUUUUGAAAGUUUAUUUUAUUACGUUCCACAGGAAUUGUUACCCAGUGAUUAUGGUGGUAAAGAAAAAUCAAUGGCUGAAUUAAUUGGUAAGCUGUAUGUUUAACACGUUGAGCCCCUGUGGGGUUCAUAGACCCGCAACUGAACUCUCCCCUCAACCCAGAGCUGUGCUAUGAGCACCAGAUGUAUUUUAUUCCACACCUACUCCAUGGCCCAACCAUAUUUAAAUGUUUUUCACAAUUUAAUUAGAGCAUCCUGGUUCCUCAAAACACACUAGGUCCAAUAUCAUUUUCUCAAACUUCUAUCAAAUAAAUUUUUUCUUUGAUCCACCCUCCUUAUGGAGUGUAAAAUCACAAAAAAAAAUUGGCCUAGAGAAAAGUUUGUCAAUCUUGGUCGGGGCCCAACGUAAUAAAAUAACACACUCAGUUUCAAUUUACAAUACUCCCAUACAUUCUCAAUUUCAUGUUUACCCUUUCUUCAAUCCAAUCCAUUAUAUUCCUAUUUUUCGCCAUUCCUUUUAGGUUAGAUGAGGUAGGGCGUGAAUCUACAACUCUUUGACCUAUUGUGACCCUGGAUAGUUUACUGAUUAGGUAGCAAUGACUUUACAUAGCGAGCUAUCUGUCUGGGGGUUAUAUGGCUCACUUCUUCUGGAUUUAAGGAGUGCCAUAGUCUCUCACUCAUAGAGGUGCUUGGUUUUUUUGCAAAAACUACAAGAGCUGUAGAGAGCAUCAUAAUUCAUUGAACAGUUUCUAGUGAGCACACCAGUGACUCUUCUUAGCUUAAUGAAAAGGCUGUUUGGGACAAAAUGGUAGAACAAGAAAGAAAUCUCUUUAAUUGUUUCAGACCUGGGGUGUUACUCCAUAUUUCUGAUUUCUUCUUUAGUAUCUUUUUCCUUCUGGUUCUGAUUUUAUCUUUUUUUCGAAUAUUCUAAAUACUUUCUUUUGUUUAUUACUGUAAUUGUUAGCCCUACCAUGGUCUUGUAUUUUUAUUUAGUUCACUAGAUAUAUAUUUUUUAAGUAGUUUUUCUUCUUUAUUUUUUUGGGUAUUGUUACUUGUAAAUACUUGACAGUGAUUCCCAAUCCAUUGCUGCAUUUUCGGUUUUAGAAUUGUGGAAGAAGCAAGUGAACAAAUACCAAAAGAGGUUUGAUAUGUUGGAAAGAUUGGAUGAAGAUAAUUAGAAAGUUAAAUACAUAAUGUGAUACAUAUAUAGAUUAUUGUAUUUGAUAAUUAUUAAAAUUUUUAUUCAAACCAA